This 535-nucleotide small RNA is filed under the name Pan troglodytes (chimpanzee). RNAcentral's name for it is "processed transcript". The record is from RNAcentral. Lineage: Eukaryota; Metazoa; Chordata; Mammalia; Primates; Hominidae.
ACAUGGACAAGGACGGGUGGUGUCUUGAAGGUGACAACAAAAGAAGGUGGUGGGUCCCAGGCCACAGAUGUUCCUGAUGCAGUCCUUGGGUCUGUGUGUGCUUUGGCCUGGCUGCCCUGUGUCCCCUGUGCUGAUUCAGGAGUCCCUGGGAAUGUAGAAAGUAGAAUAUUCAUUAGGAAACAGGACCCCAAUGAGGAUGAGCCAAACAUCCGAGUGCUCCUUGAGCACCGCUUUUACAAGGAGAAGAGCAAGAGCGUCAAGCAGACCUGUGACAAGUGUAACGCCAUCAUCUGGGGGCUCAUUCAGACCUGGUACACCUGCACAGGUGGGCCGAGACCCAGACGAGGAGUGAGGAAUGAGAGAGACCAAAGUGCCUGCCUCCGCUGGGCUCACAUUCAGAUCUGAGCUAUCCAGUGUGGUGGCCACUAGCCAAACAUGGCCAGUCAAAGUUAAAUUAACUAAAUAUGCAUUUCCUCGUUGUACUGUCUACAUUGGACAGGGCUGUUCUGGAUGAGAAAUUAAACUAGUGAAUUAC